CAAACAGCUGGUUAGACAUGCUGAUGUUAAAGAACUCCCACCGAUAAACCAACAAAUUGGUUUUGUGAAAGUAUGGAUCUGAUCUUUCCAGCUGUUGAUAUGCAAUCUUUAUUAAUGACACGUUGGCAGUAUCAGUAGCAAUAAUGAUAUCUGAACACUGUCCUGUAUCCUCCUAUGAUCUCCGUAUGUGUUUUUCCAUCUGAAACAUGAUCUUUUAUUUUUAAGUUUAUCAGCAGAGAACUGACUGAUAGUUUUGGGUAGAUGUGUUGCAGGACUGAAGACUCGGAGACACGACGGAGCUCAACAUUUCCCUCUUGUGCUUCGCUGUUGAACCGCUUGUAUGUAUAGAAUCAGCCAGUGUGUGGAGCACUAGUGCCUCCUUUUGACUUUUAGACAUACUGCAGUGUACACAAUCAUUUUCUCCUCCAGUCAAUGUUUUUUUCCACUGUAAAAGUGAGAAAGGUAUACUCGUACUUAUUAAAAAGAAAGUCAGUAAUUUGGACUACGCUGUUGCUGGAACAAUAAUUGUGGUGUUACAGUAAUAACAGCCAAAGACAACAAAGAACAGUUUGGGAUAUUUUGUGAAUAUCAAUGAGGCUGUGUCAUCGUUUCACUCUAGAGGAAUACCGCCGAGGAGAGAUUAAAGCAAAUCCGAGGAAGGCUAGGACAUGAAAUGGUAAACAGACUGAGACGUAUAUAGUGAAUUUCUAACUGAACACUCGAAGCACUUGUUACUACCUCAUUCACUCAGUCACAUUCAUGCACACACUCACACUCUGACAGAUGCACUGGAGCCAGUAUCGUGCUUCAGUGGGGGACUUCAGUGUGCAAACUGGAGUAGUCAGGGAGUGGACCAGUGACGUUCUGACUGAUCCACUCUACCACAGUCCCCCACAAGGAGGCCGGCCACAAAUGGAGAGGAGGUCUGCAGUCUAACGGCAGUUCCUCGAGCCUUCAGAGUGCCUCUCCGGUUAAAGCAGGACAGCAGCUUUGAGCUGCACAACCACA
This is a long non-coding RNA of Astatotilapia calliptera (eastern happy), 1008 nucleotides long. NCBI's taxonomy places the organism in Eukaryota, Metazoa, Chordata, Actinopteri, Cichliformes, Cichlidae. The record is from Ensembl.